This 243-nucleotide ribosomal RNA is filed under the name uncultured bacterium. Its description in RNAcentral is "partial 16S ribosomal RNA". It matches the Rfam family "Bacterial small subunit ribosomal RNA", at positions 118 to 354 of the family's 1533-position model. The record is from RNAcentral.
UGAGCAACCUGCCCUUGACACUGGAAUAACAGUUGGAAACAGCUGCUAAUACCGGGUAUCACCUCCUACGGCAUCGUAAGAGGUUGAAAGCUCCGGCGGUCAAGGAUGGGCUCGCGGCCUAUCAGCUAGUUGGUGUGGGUAACGGCCCACAAGGCGACGACGGGUAGCCGGCCUGAGAGGGUGACCGGCCACACUGGGACUGAGACACGGCCCAGACUCCGUACGGGAGGCAGNAGGUAGGGG